This 403-nucleotide ribosomal RNA is filed under the name uncultured bacterium. RNAcentral's name for it is "partial 16S ribosomal RNA". It matches the Rfam family "Bacterial small subunit ribosomal RNA", at positions 28 to 526 of the family's 1533-position model. The record is from RNAcentral.
GACGAACGCUGGCGGCGUGCCUAAUACAUGCAAGUCGAACGCAGUGGGGACGGGUGAUUAACACGUGGGUAACCUCCCAUCAGAGGGGAUAACACUUGGAAACCGGUGCUAAACCGAUACUGAUGGAUGGACCCGCGGUGCAUUAGCUAGUUGGUGGGGUAACGGCUCACCAAGGCCACGAUGCCUAGCCGGCCUGAGAGGGUGAACAGCCACACUGGGACUGAGACACGGCCCAGACUCCUACGGGAGGCAGCAGUAGGGAAUAUUCGGCAAUGGACGAAAGUCUGACCGAGCAACGCCGCGUGAGUGAAGAAGGUUUUCGGAUCGUAAAACUCUGUUGUUAGAGAAGCGGUAUCUAAACAGAAAGCAACGGCUAACUACGUGCCAGCAGCCGCGGUAAUAC